UGCGCAGGCGGUUAGAUAAGUCAGAUGUGAAAUCCCCGCGCUUAACGCGGGCAUUGCAUUUGAAACUAUGUAGCUAGAGUUCUGUAGAGGGGGGUAGAAUUCCAGGUGUAGCGGUGAAAUGCGUAGAGAUCUGGAGGAAUACCGAUUGCGAAGGCAGCCCCCUGGACAGUUACUGACGCUCAUAUGCGAAAGCGUGGGGAUCAAACAGGAUUAGAUACCCUUGUA
RNAcentral lists this ribosomal RNA (225 nucleotides) under uncultured Thorsellia sp. Its description in RNAcentral is "partial 16S ribosomal RNA". It matches the Rfam family "Bacterial small subunit ribosomal RNA", at positions 568 to 792 of the family's 1533-position model. The record is from RNAcentral. Lineage: Bacteria; Pseudomonadati; Pseudomonadota; Gammaproteobacteria; Enterobacterales; Thorselliaceae.